This 492-nucleotide ribosomal RNA is filed under the name uncultured bacterium. RNAcentral describes it as "partial 16S ribosomal RNA". It matches the Rfam family "Bacterial small subunit ribosomal RNA", at positions 29 to 507 of the family's 1533-position model. The record is from RNAcentral.
AGUGAACGCUGGCGGCAGGCCUAACACAUGCAAGUCGAACGGCAGCACAGUAAGAGUUUGCUCUUACGGGUGGCGAGUGGCGGACGGGUGAGGAAUACAUCGGAAUCUACUUUUUCGUGGGGGAUAACGUAGGGAAACUUACGCUAAUACCGCAUACGACCUACGGGUGAAAGCAGGGGAUCUUCGGACCUUGCGCGAUUGAAUGAGCCGAUGUCGGAUUAGCUAGUUGGCGGGGUAAAGGCCCACCAAGGCGACGAUCCGUAGCUGGUCUGAGAGGAUGAUCGGCCACACUGGAACUGAGACACGGUCCAGACUCCUACGGGAGGCAGCAGUGGGGAAUAUUGGACAAUGGGCGCAAGCCUGAUCCAGCCAUACCGCGUGGGUGAAGAAGGCCUUCGGGUUGUAAAGCCCUUUUGUUGGGAAAGAAAAGCUGUAGGUUUAUACCUCGCUGUUCUGACGGUACCCAAUGAAUAAGCACCGGCUAACUUCGUG